UGGAAAACAACCUCUGAUGGUCGCGUUCCCACAACGAGAGGCGUGGCUCUGGAUAGAGCAUAUUGUUACCGCCCAUUGACAUUUUAAAUGCUCAAAGAAGUCAGGUUAAACAGUCCAUAGGAACUACAGUGCCAUUCUAUCUGCAAUGGCCAUAGGACUUUGUAUUCAAUGCGUGUCCUGCUAUAUCUUAUAAUUACGGUGUGCACGAUUGGACAAUGUAUGAAGUAGGCUAUAGAAAACGUCGAUUGACUGGUCUGUUUGUUUUGUUUUCCUCGUGUCGUCUCAUCUCAGGUGCACGUUCCAUAGUCCAUAUGCAGUUUGAAGUCAGUCGGUCCCAAGAGACCCUCUCUGCGUCAAUAAAUGCGAUUUGUGGUUCAUUUAACGCAUUCAGGUAUGAGGUAUUUCUAUAAUUAUGAAUACAUCGAAAGUACAUACGUAUAUAAGUUCAUAACCAUCAAUGAUCAGAUGCUACAAUGGUAGGCCUUAGCCUACAGUAGGUAUGUCAUGAUUUGACACCUGAAACAGAGUUCGGCUCUUGCCAAGUAGGGUAAGGAAUGGGUUAUGCAGAUGCAAGGCUAAAGUGUGAUGUUUGUGGUUGUCUUAUUCAUAGACUUUCAAGAGGCUAGAGGGAGAGACAACCAAUAAUCAGGUAGACUAAUAUUCGCCUAAGCAAAUCAUCAGCGAUGAGGCGACGGUCAAGAUAUAGUGACUAAAUUAUGGAUUACACAAGUAGAUUUCAGAAAAGGUCAAACUGCAGUCAGUAUGGGUUACAUUUGAAGAAAAAAAUACACAUCACCAUUAGUAAAAUAAUGUAAUGAUUAGUCACACAUUAUCUGUUUCAAAUAUGAAAGUUGUAGACAAUGUUUUUUGUUGAGAAACAUUUCAAUGAUAGACCUAGUAAAAUGGCGUGUAUCUGAAGCAUAAUAGUAGAGCAUUUUGUCCUCUGUGAGUUUUUAAGGUACUUUAUUUGAGGUGUUUUAAUGGAUUUGUUGGUAAUUUGAGGGAACAGACAUGCAAGCAAUAAACUACAUAAAAAGAGCUGAAACAGAAAACAUUUUUGAAGUGCACAGUAAUAGUAGGAAACACUUUUUAUUUAUAAUGCUUUCAGACUCUCCUCAUCAUAGUCUAGAAGCAUUUUAAUUUUUUGUCAACAAGACUUUUUAAUGCAUAUUUAUCAUUUGUCAUCAGCAUCCAGAUGUUUGAAAAUAUGUAUUAUCCUUGGAAGUCCAGUUGGCUUCACUGCAGAUUUCUCCCCUUAGAGCAGCAAGUGACUAACACUGCCCAGGAAAACAACUUAAAUCUGUAAACCAACAUUAAUGCAGUGAUUUACAGUCCCCUUGGGAUCCACAGCAAGGUGUGCAAGGAGUACUGAAAUGUCCUCACUCAGAAAGACACUGAAGAUUUCAUUAAAAAGUGUACACCAAUCUCUUGAGAGAAGAGGCCAAACUUAAUGGAACCAGGACAAGAAGAAGAAACGGAAAGUGGAAGGCCUAAAUGUACCAACACUUCAGAGAAUAAGUGCAAAAAGUACGGACUGGCUACAGACUUCACAGGGCCUUAUUUGGUUUCUUCCUUAAAAAGUAUACAGCAUCACACUGAAAGAUGACACAGAGAGGCCAGACAGACUCUAUUUAUAUAGCACAUUUUAAAACAACAGAUGUUGAAUAAAAAAAAAACUUUAAGAGGAAUAAAAAAAUGAGAGAAUAAAAGACAAAAAGUAAUAUUAAAAACAAGACAUGAUAAACAAACAGAAAAAUAAAUGAGUAAAAGGAACUACAAUUAAAAGGCUAAGCUAAAAUGAAGCACAUAUGACAAAUAAAAUAAACAUAACCGAUAAAAGGAAUAAGAAAUAUAGCUGCAAGCAGCGAUGCGGAUUCCUCCUA
Clupea harengus (Atlantic herring) is the source of this 1883-nucleotide long non-coding RNA. RefSeq lists it as uncharacterized. The record is from RefSeq and is a predicted model, not a curated record. Lineage: Eukaryota; Metazoa; Chordata; Actinopteri; Clupeiformes; Clupeidae. The transcript is spliced from 3 exons.